Molecule: ribosomal RNA, 396 nt
Filed under: uncultured bacterium
Lineage: Bacteria
Description: partial 16S ribosomal RNA
Rfam family: Bacterial small subunit ribosomal RNA
Source: RNAcentral
CCUACGGGAGGCAGCAGUGAGGAAUAUUGGUCAAUGGACGCAAGUCUGAACCAGCCAAGCCGCGUGCAGGAAGACGGUCCUAUGGGUUGUAAACUGCUUUUAUGCGGGGACAAACGCAGAUACGCGUGGCCGUCUGCAGGUACCGUACGAAUAAGGAUCGGCUAACUCCGUGCCAGCAGCCGCGGUAAUACGGAAGAUGCGGGCGUUAUCCGGAUUUAUUGGGUUUAAAGGGUGCGCAGGCGGGCCGUUAAGUUAGUGGUGAAAUCCCGGGGCUCAACCCCGGCACUGCCGCGGAAACUGGUGGGCUAGAGUGGGGCAGAGGUAGGCGGAAUGUGUGGUGUAGCGGUGAAAUGCUUAGAGAUCGCGCAGAACACCGAUUGCGAAGGCAGCCUACCG